This 247-nucleotide ribosomal RNA is filed under the name uncultured bacterium. Its description in RNAcentral is "partial 16S ribosomal RNA". It matches the Rfam family "Bacterial small subunit ribosomal RNA", at positions 1254 to 1500 of the family's 1533-position model. The record is from RNAcentral.
GCCGCGAGGUAGAGCAAAUCUCAAAAAAAACAUCUCAGUUCAGACUGCAGGCUGCAACUCGCCUGCACGAAGUCGGAAUUGCUAGUAAUCGUAGGUCAGCAUACUACGGUGAAUACGUUCCCGGGCCUUGUACACACCGCCCGUCAAACCAUGAGAGUUGGCAACACCCGAAGUCGGUAGUCUAACCGCAAGGAGGACGCCGCCGAAGGUGGGGUUGAUGAUUAGGGUUAAGUCGUAACAAGGUAGC